UCGCGCAGUAUUUAUCGUCGAGUUAAAGUGCGCGGAUCGCUCGAGGAGCGAACUUAUAUUCCUGCCAAAUUAAAUAAAAUAUUUGUUAAGUGCAUGUUUAGGUGUUAGUUGUUGUUGCCGCAAAGCCAAGUUCAUAAGCAGGUGCAAAGGUGCAAAAGUGGGCUAAUAACAAAACAAGUUCGCCAGUUUCAAUUGGAAAGCUAAGCGAAGAAGAUGGGAAAGUUCGAGUAUUCACUGGGUCUCAAUGAGCUCAAAUCGAAGGAGCUGCGAUUGUGGCAGGCCCUGAUUGGAGAAUUCCUGGGUAAUCUGAUCCUCAAUUUCUUUGCCUGCGGUGCAUGCACUCAAAUUGAGGAUGGUACCUUCAAGGCCCUGGCUUUUGGCCUGGCCAUCUUCAUGGCCAUCACGAUUGUGGGCCACUUGAGUGGAGGACAUGUAAAUCCUGCAGUCACCGCUGGAAUGUUGGUUGCAGGACGAAUCAGCUUGAUCAGGGCCUUCUUCUAUGUAAUUUUCCAGUGCCUGGGUGCCAUCGCUGGAACUGCAGCUGUUAAGAUACUCCUCGAUCAGGACUACCAUAAUGGCUUGGGUCACACCUCUCUGGCGCCGAAUAUCUCAGAAAUGCAGGGCCUGGGAAUUGAGUUCUUCCUGGGACUCCUGCUGGUUCUCGUUGUAUUUGGGGCCUGCGAUCCCCACAAGCCCGACUCCCGUUACACGGCGCCCCUGGCCAUUGGAAUGGCUGUGACCUUGGGUCACUUGGGCACGAUUCGAUACACGGGUGCCAGCAUGAAUCCCGCCCGCACUGUGGGCACUGCCUUUGCCACCGAUAUCUGGACCUCGCAUUGGGUGUACUGGGUGGGACCCGUGCUGGGGGGCGUGGCAGCAGCCCUGCUCUAUACCCAGGUUCUGGAGGCGAAACCCGCCCCGAAGGCGAACGAGGCCUCCGAGAAGUACCGAACGCACGCCGAUGAACGCGAGCAGCAGAUAUUCGUAUACUAAAGCUAUCGCAACCCGCCAUCCAAACUUAAAGCAAUCCACUUUUGAGAACCGAACCCAUUGGUUUAGAUCUUCUUCAAUCCUUUCAACCGAACCCGUCCACAAAUUCGAUCGAUGCGCAAAUUGGAGGGAGAACGCGACUAUGCUUAAAACUAAGGGAUCAUCAGCGACUCGAAUCUAGAGAUAGAGGGAGAUUUGUUCGAUGUAUCCAUUCAUUUCAGUGUCUAUCAUACUUAUGUCGUGUACUCUUCCGUUCGUGUGUAUUUAUGUAUUUAUUCAUGAAAAAAAAAAUCAUUUUUUAAUAACUAAUAUUUAAAUGUGUAAGCUGCCCUAAAAUGCAAACUACAAAAUAAAUUACUUGUACUCUCAAGCGUUCACAAUAAAGUGGAAAACAUUAACUGAAA
Molecule: RNA transcript, 1394 nt
Organism: Drosophila takahashii
Lineage: Eukaryota; Metazoa; Arthropoda; Insecta; Diptera; Drosophilidae
Gene: Prip
Gene name: aquaporin prip
Source: RefSeq, a predicted model, not a curated record